GCACUCGCUGGCGGACGUAGGCGUAUCCCGGGUCCUCCGGCGACCUGCGGGUGCCCCGGGGGCCCGGCAGGACGGUCUCCUCGUCCCGCGCGCCC
This 95-nucleotide transfer RNA is filed under the name Streptomyces abikoensis. RNAcentral describes it as "tRNA-Arg". The record is from RNAcentral. Lineage: Bacteria; Bacillati; Actinomycetota; Actinomycetes; Kitasatosporales; Streptomycetaceae.